UAAAAGCUGGAGUUGUGCCACCGUGACU
This 28-nucleotide non-coding RNA is filed under the name Mus musculus (house mouse). Lineage: Eukaryota; Metazoa; Chordata; Mammalia; Rodentia; Muridae. The record is from RNAcentral.